RNAcentral lists this ribosomal RNA (1262 nucleotides) under Aiolopus thalassinus. RNAcentral's name for it is "16S ribosomal RNA". The stretch from base 822 to 1188 matches the Rfam family "Archaeal large subunit ribosomal RNA", at positions 2148 to 2718 of the family's 2987-position model. The record is from RNAcentral. Lineage: Eukaryota; Metazoa; Arthropoda; Insecta; Orthoptera; Acrididae.
UAUUUAAAUUAUUAUAUUUUUUUUUUGUUUUAUUUUUGAUUUAAUAGAAAUAAUUUUAUUGUUUUAUUGUCUUAGUAUUUUUUAUAGAAAUGAUUAUGUUUAUAUAAUAGUUUAUUAGUGCAGUCAAACUAUAAAAAGUAUAAAACUAUAAAAAGUAGAUUUAAUUUUUUGUAUCUUUUGUAUCAGUGUUUAUCAAAAUUAUAUUUUUUAUUAAUUAAUCUCGAUUUAGGUUGAUUUACAAAUAAAUAAUUGUUAUUAUUUCAUGAAUAGUAUUUAUUUAUUUGUGGAAGUGAAAUGAUUAUUAAUGUUUUUAUUUAAUUUUUAAAUUUUAAAAUAUUAAUAUGUUUCUUCUUUAGGGGAUAAGCUCUAAAGUUAAUUUCCUAAAAUUUAUUAAUUAUAAUUAUAAUAAUAGGCUUUAAACCAGCAAUUUUUUAGAUUACGUUUUAGUUCAUUUUUAUUAUUUUGAUUUUUUAAUUUAUUUAGGUUUUAUAUUAAGAUGUUUAGUUUAAUUUUAAAGUUUUUGUAAUAAUGAUUUAAUUAGUAUAUUUAUUUUGUUUUUAUUUUUGAUUUUUGGUAACUUAUUAUAAGGAAUUAGGCAAAUUUAAUUUCCGCCUGUUUAUCAAAAACAUGUCUUCUUGAUAAUAUUUUGAAGUCUAACCUGCUCACUGAUAUUAUAUUAAAUAGCCGCGGUAUUUUGACCGUGCAAAGGUAGCAUAAUCAUUAGUCUUUUAAUUGUGGACUGGAAUGAAUGGUUUAACGAGAAAUUAACUGUCUCUUAAUAAUUUUUAGAAUUUAACUUUUGAGUUAAAAGGCUUAAAUUUUUCUUUAGGACGAGAAGACCCUAUAGAUCUUUACAUUUAAAUUUUUAUAUUUUUUUUAGUUAAUCUUUUUAUAUUAAAUUUUAAUGUUUUGUUGGGGUGACAUGAAGAAUAGUUAAACUCUUCAUUAUUAAAUCAUUUAUUUAUGAUUAUUUGAUCCAUAAUUUAUGAUCAUAAGAUUAAGUUACCUUAGGGAUAACAGCGUAAUUAUUAUUGAGAGUUCAUAUCGACAUAAUAGUUUGCGACCUCGAUGUUGGAUUAAGAUUAAUUUUAGGUGUAGUAGCUUAAAAAUUAGGUCUGUUCGACCUUUAGAUUCUUACAUGAUCUGAGUUCAGACCGGCGUAAGCCAGGUCGGUUUCUAUCCUAAGAAUAUUUAAUUCAUAUUAGUACGAAAGGACCAUAUGAUUGAAAUAUUUUUUAUUUUUAGAUUAAAAUUAAUUUUUU